Molecule: ribosomal RNA, 253 nt
Filed under: uncultured bacterium
Lineage: Bacteria
Description: partial 16S ribosomal RNA
Rfam family: Bacterial small subunit ribosomal RNA
Source: RNAcentral
UACGUAGGCAGCAAGCGUUGUCCGGAUUUAUUGGGCGUAAAGAGCGUGUAGGCGGCCAAGCAGGUCCGCUGUGAAAACUCGAGGCUCAACCUCGAGACGUCGGUGGAAACCGUUUGGCUAGAGUCCGGAAGAGGAGAGUGGAAUUCCCGGUGUAGCGGUGAAAUGCGCAGAUAUCGGGAAGAACACCCGUGGCGAAGGCGGCUCUCUGGGACGGUACUGACGCUGAGACGCGAAAGCGUGGGGAGCGAACAGG